Lemur catta (Ring-tailed lemur) is the source of this 67-nucleotide small nucleolar RNA. RefSeq annotates it as small nucleolar RNA SNORD109A. The record is from RefSeq and is a predicted model, not a curated record. The transcript has a single exon. NCBI's taxonomy places the organism in Eukaryota, Metazoa, Chordata, Mammalia, Primates, Lemuridae.
GGAUCGAUGAUGAGCCUAAAUGUUUGAGGACGGUUAAGGACACAUGGCAGAUGUACAUCUGACGUCC